AUUUGAUUAAAAAUUAACUUUUGAUUCCUUGAAGAAUACCAUUCAAAUAAGCCUUUUUAAAAAAAUAUUUUUAUAGCAUAGAAUUUCAAAACUCCAUACAAAAAAAAUUAAGUCCAACAUGAUAAGGAAAAUCCAGUAAUGAAAUUUAAUUCUUUCACUGACAAAAAUUAUGAAAUCUGCAAUAUCCAUGUGCUAGCAAUUAUUUGCAAUUGAAUUAAUUGAUAUUGAUAAAUUUAUAAGUUAUAUCUCUUAUUUUUUAUUAAAAAAUUUUGAAUUUUUUAGGGUUGGUUUAUUUUGUACAUAUAUCUAUAACAGUGAAACUAUUUUUCGUAAUUUCUGGUAUUGAAUGAAAUUCAUUGAGUAUAUUUGGUCAAAGAUGGUGUGGUUCCCAUCUGCAAUUGUUUUGCCAUUUAGUAAGCUAAUUGAUAUUCUUGGAACACAUCCUCUGAGGAGGGUGGCUGAGUAUGAUGAAGUUUGGAUGAUGGUUACAAUCAUGGUCAUUUGCAAAAAUAAAUGUUAUGGAAUUUUUGAACUGAAUUAUUAUAGUGGUAUAAUUGCUAGGAAAACUACAUAAAUUUGAAAUAUUCUGGAAAUGAUAUCUCUUGCACAGGGAUAGCUGUGAUCUUAGGUAAUUUGCUUUAAUUAAUUAUUGAAUUUGCUGAUUCAUUAAGUAAUUAUUUAAUAAGUGUGAAGCACAUCAGAUCUAGGUGGUUGGUGAAUUUCCUGGGAAAUAAUUUGUCACUGAUUGCAGCAGGCAUGUCAUGCCCAUUUGAAAUGUCAGAGAGUUGUUUAUAGUUGUAUUCUCAAUAUUUUUGAAUGGGUAUCAAUGAAAAUGGGUUGAAAAUGAAUGAUUAAGAAAUAAUAAUACUUAUUUUAGUAGAAUUACAGCAUAUAUUCUCUGUUUUCGCUUUUGUGUUUUUAUUUUAAUUUUUGGAUAUCUUAUAUGUCAUCAUACAAAAGAAAAUU
This 966-nucleotide long non-coding RNA is filed under the name Androctonus crassicauda. The record is from RNAcentral. Lineage: Eukaryota; Metazoa; Arthropoda; Arachnida; Scorpiones; Buthidae.